RNAcentral lists this ribosomal RNA (427 nucleotides) under uncultured Chlamydiales bacterium. RNAcentral describes it as "partial 16S ribosomal RNA". It matches the Rfam family "Bacterial small subunit ribosomal RNA", at positions 355 to 774 of the family's 1533-position model. Lineage: Bacteria; Pseudomonadati; Chlamydiota; Chlamydiia; Chlamydiales. The record is from RNAcentral.
UCGAGAAUCUUUCGCAAUGGGCGAAAGCCUGACGAAGCGACGCCGUGUGAGCGAAGAAGGCCUUCGGGUUGUAAAGCUCUUUCGCUAGGGAACAAGAGAGGCGUGGUAAUAUAACGCCGAUUUGAUGGUACUUGGUAAAGAAGCACCGGCUAACUCCGUGCCAGCAGCUGCGGUAAUACGGAGGGUGCAAGCAUUGAUCGGAAUUACUGGGCGUAAAGGGCGCGUAGGCGGUGAGAUAAGUCAGAUGUGAAAUUCCGGGGCUCAACCCCGGAGCUGCAUUUGAAACUGUUUCACUAGAGGUCAGUUAGGGAAAACGGAAUUCCACGUGUAGCGGUGAAAUGCGUAGAUAUGUGGAAGAACACCAGUGGUGAAGACGGUUUUCUGGGCUGAUACUGACGCUGAGGCGCGAAAGCAAGGGGAGCAAACA